UACGUAGGGGGCAAGCGUUGUCCGGAAUGAUUGGGCGUAAAGGGCGCGUAGGCGGCCAUGUAAGUCCGAUGUGAAAGUCCUGCUUUUAAGGUGGGAAUUGCAUUGGAAACUGUGUGGCUUGAGUGCAGGAGAGGUAAGUGGAAUUCCCGGUGUAGCGGUAAAAUGCGUAGAGAUCGGGAGGAACACCAGUGGCGAAGGCGACCUACUGGACUGUAACUGACGCUGAGGCGCGAAAGUGUGGGGAGCAAACAGGAUUAGAUACCCUGGUAGUCCACACUGUAAACGAUGAAUGCUAGGUGUAGGGGGUAUCGACCCCUUCUGUGCCGGAGUAAACACAAUAAGCAUUCCGCCUGGGGAGUACGGCCGCAAGGUUGAA
This 376-nucleotide ribosomal RNA is filed under the name uncultured bacterium. RNAcentral's name for it is "bacterial SSU rRNA". It matches the Rfam family "Bacterial small subunit ribosomal RNA", at positions 524 to 898 of the family's 1533-position model. The record is from RNAcentral.